UGGGGAAUUUUGCGCAAUGGGCGGAAGCCUGACGCAGCAACGCCGCGUGGAGGAUGAAGGUCUUUGGAUUGUAAACUCCUGUCAGCAGGGAAAAAGGGACUGGGCCUAAUACGUCCGGAACUUGAUUGUACCUGCAGAGGAAACCCCGGCUAACUCCGUGCCAGCCGCCGCGGUAAUACGGGGGGGGUAAGCGUUGUUCGGAAUUACUGGGCGUAAAGGGCUCGUAGGCGGCCAACUAAGUCGGACGUGAAAUCCCUCAGCUUAACUGGGGAACUGCGUCCGAUACUGGAUGGCUUGGAUCCGGAAGAGGGAUGCGGAAUUCCAGGUGUAGCGGUGAAAUGCGUAGAUAUCUGGAGGAACACCGGUGGCGAAGGCGGCAUCCUGGGCCGGUAUUGACGCUGAGGAGCGAAAGCUAGGGGAGCAAA
This 425-nucleotide ribosomal RNA is filed under the name uncultured bacterium. RNAcentral describes it as "bacterial SSU rRNA". It matches the Rfam family "Bacterial small subunit ribosomal RNA", at positions 355 to 772 of the family's 1533-position model. The record is from RNAcentral.